Molecule: ribosomal RNA, 99 nt
Filed under: Pteropus alecto (black flying fox)
Lineage: Eukaryota; Metazoa; Chordata; Mammalia; Chiroptera; Pteropodidae
Source: RNAcentral
ACCCACAGCCCACUCAUUUAAGAGUGGGUCUUUAAGCAGCGUUGAGCCUGGUUAGUACUUGGAUGGGAGGCCACCUAGGAAUACCAGGUGCUGUAGGCA